This 253-nucleotide ribosomal RNA is filed under the name uncultured bacterium. Its description in RNAcentral is "partial 16S ribosomal RNA". It matches the Rfam family "Bacterial small subunit ribosomal RNA", at positions 524 to 776 of the family's 1533-position model. The record is from RNAcentral.
UACGAAGGGGGCUAGCGUUGUUCGGAAUCACUGGGCGUAAAGCGCACGUAGGCGGAUCUUUAAGUCAGGGGUGAAAUCCCGAGGCUCAACCUCGGAACUGCCUUUGAUACUGGGAAUCUCGAGUCCGGGAGAGGUGAGUGGAACUGCGAGUGUAGAGGUGAAAUUCGUAGAUAUUCGCAAGAACACCAGUGGCGAAGGCGGCUCACUGGCCCGGUACUGACGCUGAGGUGCGAAAGCGUGGGGAGCAAACAGG